AGGAAAACUAAUAAAUUCUUUGGCUUCUACUCGCCGUCUUCUUGCAGAACGGGCUCGGGAACCAAGUCCUCAUGAUCUGAAAUGGUUAAGUAAGGAAUGAGCUACACUAGCCCAGUAAAGACAUCACACUAUCUCACUGUCACAGAAGUAAAGGUUGGUACAAAACAAAAAGGACCAAUGGAGCAUAAUUUAUAACAAACUCAUUUAUCAAUAAUAAAAACCUUUAUUGUCCACUUACCUCAGUGAGAUUCAUGAAAACGACCUAUAGAAACAAUAACAUCAUAAAUAUCAUGAAUUCAUACAUAAUCUGUAUUAUAGUACAUGUAAUAUUUUUGUAUUUCAAUCAUCAGGCAACAAAUUUCCUCUUUUAUCAGCCUACUAGUAUCCAUGGAGAUCCAUAGGAUGUCCCCGCUACACGUGAACCAUUUACAUUAAUAACUUAAUUCCAAGGCCAUCCUCAUACCCCGUCCGGUAUGGGCGCCAAAACACAUAAAGUCUCCAUACCCCGUCCGAUAUGAGAGACCACGUUCCUGGUAGGGUUCUCUAUGGACCCGGUCCGUCCACCAUCUCCCAAGAUAUCUAGUGAGGCUGUCGACUUAUCCACUUAUAAAUUCACAUAGCGUCCUUAUUUUUCUUAGUCUCAAUUACCCAAUCAACAUAAAUACGUAUACCAGCAACACACACCAAAUAAGGUAACACAACAUCGGGUUGACAAUAAUUCAAACCAUAAUAGAUUAAAUAGUUAUUCAUGCAUACGGAACCACAGAAUAAACAAUCAGAUACUAUACUGCAUUUAGACUGUAAAAUACAUCAAACAGAAACAGACCGAUAAAUACAUCAGGUUUGGGCCCCAUUAGCAAUCUUAAUUAAUUAUACAUAUCUAUUAAUUCAUAAAAUACCGUUUAAUCAUUUAUUAAACUUUAAUGCCG
RNAcentral lists this long non-coding RNA (929 nucleotides) under Carica papaya (papaya). Its description in RNAcentral is "long non-coding RNA (CPAP_LNC009875)". Lineage: Eukaryota; Viridiplantae; Streptophyta; Magnoliopsida; Brassicales; Caricaceae. The record is from RNAcentral.